Molecule: small nuclear RNA, 104 nt
Organism: Callithrix jacchus (white-tufted-ear marmoset)
Lineage: Eukaryota; Metazoa; Chordata; Mammalia; Primates; Cebidae
Source: Ensembl
GAGAAAAAAAAAUCUGGUCUCAAAAUUCUGGAACAAUACAGAGAAUUCUAACAUGGCCCCUGUGCAAGGAUGGUGUGCAAAUUUGUGAAACGGUCCAUAUUUUU